RNAcentral lists this ribosomal RNA (253 nucleotides) under uncultured bacterium. RNAcentral's name for it is "partial 16S ribosomal RNA". It matches the Rfam family "Bacterial small subunit ribosomal RNA", at positions 524 to 776 of the family's 1533-position model. The record is from RNAcentral.
UACGAAGGGGGCUAGCGUUGUUCGGAAUUACUGGGCGUAAAGCGCACGUAGGCGGAUACUUAAGUCAGGGGUGAAAUCCCGGGGCUCAACCCCGGAACUGCCUUUGAUACUGGGUAUCUCGAGUCCGGAAGAGGUGAGUGGAAUUCCGAGUGUAGAGGUGAAAUUCGUAGAUAUUCGGAGGAACACCAGUGGCGAAGGCGGCUCACUGGUCCGGUACUGACGCUGAGGUGCGAAGGCGUGGGGAGCAAACAGG